Haplochromis burtoni (Burton's mouthbrooder) is the source of this 643-nucleotide non-coding RNA. Lineage: Eukaryota; Metazoa; Chordata; Actinopteri; Cichliformes; Cichlidae. The record is from the annotation of a RefSeq genome assembly.
UUUAAAACUGAAAGGCUAGUUGAGGGUGACUACACCCACCUAAAUGCAAGGCACUCCAAGUUGUGUCACAGGAAGUGCACGUUUAAUGUACUCAGCAGUCUGACCUAUCGACCUACGUUGCUGAUUAUCGACAAGUCUCCAAGAAGAAGACAAUGUGAAGAUGAUUGUGUUUUGGAUUGCACUGAAUCUUCUUCAUCAAGGAUAUGCACUGGUUUCACAAAUCACUGUUCAAGCUGGAGAACCUGCAACCUUCAUCUGUAGUCUACCUCACACAGAGGUCCUCCCUCGACAAGUCCACUGGUAUAAACAGAGUGCCGGGGAUACACUGAAAAUAAUUGUGACAGUGCGGAAAUCUAAACCACCUGAGUAUGCACAAGAUUUUCCUAAAUCCAGAUGGGAGAUAAAAAGCAACAGCAGUUUUAGUAACCUGACCAUUUUGAGGACAAUUCAAGAAGAUGAGGGAAUGUAUCACUGUGGAGUCUCCGAGUGGCUUGCAGACAUUAUAUGGACUGGGAUGCAUUUAUUAAUAAAAGGAAAAAAUCAGAGCAUUUCCAACUCUUCUGUUGCUCAGAGUUCGACAGUAUCAUCUGGAACUAAGCCAGACAUUCAUGGAAGCAGCAUUAUGGUCACAGGGUGCCAGUGA